Molecule: non-coding RNA, 87 nt
Organism: Claviceps citrina
Lineage: Eukaryota; Fungi; Ascomycota; Sordariomycetes; Hypocreales; Clavicipitaceae
Source: the annotation of a GenBank genome assembly
GGGCGAAUGGUUUAGUGGUAUAAUACUCCCUUAGCAUUGUGUGCACAAUCUUGGGAGUGGUCCAGGGUUCGAUUCCCUGUUCGUCCA